Molecule: non-coding RNA, 664 nt
Organism: Pan troglodytes (chimpanzee)
Lineage: Eukaryota; Metazoa; Chordata; Mammalia; Primates; Hominidae
Source: the annotation of a RefSeq genome assembly
GCCUGUGCAAGACAGGAAUAGUACAUGGAGUAGCAGAACCUGAGGCCUGCCAAAGAGUACAGUGGGCUGCAGUGGCCUGCAGGGGAAAGUAUGUCAGUGUGGUGACAUCACAGGUCAAUGCUCCUAUCAGGAAGAAGGGAGCUUAGGAACUGCAGAAUGCUUACUACAGAGACACCAGCCCCAAGCUAGGAGAUCCUGCCAUGGGCUUCAGGCUCCUCUGCUGUGUGGCCUUUUGUCUCCUGGGAGCAGGCCCAGUGGAUUUUGGAGUCACACAAACCCCAAAGCACCUGAUCACAGCAACUGGACAGCAAGUGACGCUGAGAUGCUCCCCUAGGUCUGGAGACCUCUCUGUGUACUGGUACCAACAGAGCCUGGACCAGGGCCUCCAGUUCCUCAUUCAGUAUUAUAAUGGAGAAGAGAGCGCAAAAGGAAACAUUCUUGAACGAUUCUCCGCACAACAGUUCCCUGACUUGCACUCUGAACUAAACCUGAGCUCUCUGGAGCUGGGGGACUCAGCUUUGUAUUUCUGUGCCAGCAGCGUAGCACAGCCCUGCAUGAGCAUCAGCCUUCUGUGCAAUAACAUUCCUGCCCCACUCAGGAAGUGACGGUGAGGGGAGGGCUGCCAGCCAGAGGGGCUCAGGCCCUGGAGAGUGGACAGGCCUUU